This 424-nucleotide ribosomal RNA is filed under the name uncultured prokaryote. RNAcentral's name for it is "bacterial SSU rRNA". It matches the Rfam family "Bacterial small subunit ribosomal RNA", at positions 355 to 796 of the family's 1533-position model. The record is from RNAcentral.
UGGGGAAUCUUGGACAAUGGGGGAAACCCUGAUCCAGCCAUGCCGCGUGAGCGAUGACGGCCUUAGGGUUGUAAAGCUCUUUCACCGGUGACGAUAAUGACGGUAGCCGGAGAAGAAGCCCCGGCUAACUCCGUGCCAGCAGCCGCGGUAAUACGGAGGGGGCUAGCGUUGUUCGGAAUUACUGGGCGUAAAGCGCACGUAGGCGGACCGUUAAGUCGGGGGUGAAAUCCCGGGGCUCAACCCCGGAACUGCCUCCGAUACUGGCGGUCUAGAGGUCGAGAGAGGCGAGUGGAAUGACGAGUGUAGAGGUGAAAUUCGUAGAUAUUCGUCGGAACACCAGUGGCGAAGGCGGCUCGCUGGCUCGAUACUGACGCUGAGGUGCGAAAGCGUGGGGAGCAAACAGGAUUAGAUACCCCCGUAGUCC